Molecule: ribosomal RNA, 199 nt
Filed under: uncultured bacterium
Lineage: Bacteria
Description: partial 16S ribosomal RNA
Rfam family: Bacterial small subunit ribosomal RNA
Source: RNAcentral
ACGCUCGACACCUACGAGAGGCAGCAGUCGGGAAUAUUGCGCAAUGGAGGAAACUCUGACGCAGUGACGCCGCGUAUAGGAAGAAGGUUUUCGGAUUGUAAACUAUUGUCGUUAGGGAAGAGAAAGGACAGUACCUAAGGAGGAAGCUCCGGCUAACUACGUGCCAGCAGCCGCGGUAAUCUGAGCGGGCUGGCAAGGC